UCUGCACACAGUGAGAAAUGCURCGGUGACAAACUGUGCUCCCGUGAAGACCUCCUGUGUCAUCUGCUCCUCCAGGACCACCCUGUGGCAGACUCUGAACACAGUCUUGCUGCUACUGCAAACUACCUUUGAAACAAAAGAUUUUGCAAGAAUGGACACUCUUCUUUUCCCUGUUUUUGUCAGCAAGAUCUUGAAGCUCAUUUGACUACCCUCCUGACUGUGUGUGUUGACCUAAGGCAAGCAGCAGGAAUAUAAAACAGGMUCUGGUGAGGGUGGAGCCCAUCUCAGUAGGGCAGCACAGGCUUGAACGAGAAUAUGCUGGUCAUAAAACUACAUCCUUGUGGGCUCACACACCAAGGCUUAACAGGUGUUUUGCUCUGCCCACAAAAGAAAGGAUAGAUCUGCCUCAUUCAAUUUGGGCAUCAGAAAAGUAGCAGUGCCUACUGUGAMCUCUGCCUGCUUCUCUCUGACAUGAUGGAKGGAGUUUCAGAUGAUCAACCUGCCAGAGAAUGACAGGUGCAGUGGAGAGAAGGCAAAUUUUAUAUUGGGAUGUCACUGCACUGAUUAGUURAUCUCCACUCUAAGAGGAAAGCUAUAGAAAGGAGUUUGGAAGGAGGAGAAAGGGAUUUUGGUUGGCAGCUUCAGACCAGCUAGCUGGUCAAAGCUGGUGAGGAAAGAAGAGCUGGAAGUGUUUGUGGAGGAUUCCCUGUGAAACUCUGCUGAAAUGUUUUUAUGGGAAACCCUCCCUCCUUAUCCUGGGAACUGCUUUAAGUCCCAGCUCUCUCACACUUKGCUCCUGCCUGAGUUGCACUGUGGCCGUGUUCCUGCCCCUCUGGUACCUUGCUGAUGGGAACCCUGACCCUGCCACGGGCUCUCAAUUUGCUGAGGAGUCUGAACCUCCAGCUCCCCUGUUCACUUUGGGCGUUGCUGCUCCCUGCUGUGGUUUCAUUGUGCCUGCCAGGCUGGGCUGGGGCACUSGUCCAGCAAUGGAACUGUGCUGCAGCAGAGAAUGAUGGAUGAUUUCUCCUCUGCUGUGGGAGAAUUGAAUCGGCUGGAAUCAUUGAGGAUGACAUCCCAGGCUCCCUUGGGAUUCAAACACAACCCCUCCCUGCAAGAGAGCAGCCACUGCCUAAAGUUAUGAAUACAUGCUCUGGCAUCCACUGCCARCAAGACUCAGAAAGGGCUGGGGASCAGAGGCUGUGCUGCAGCUAAAGACAAUUGAGCAACUGGAAAAAGCACUGGAAUGAUUUUUCACAAUAAUCACAGGGAAAGAGAGAAAUGUCAUUAUAAUUUGUAGCUGCAAAGCCUAUUGAGACAGAAAGAAAGCA
Molecule: long non-coding RNA, 1328 nt
Organism: Malurus melanocephalus (red-backed fairy wren)
Lineage: Eukaryota; Metazoa; Chordata; Aves; Passeriformes; Maluridae
Exons: 4
Source: RefSeq, a predicted model, not a curated record